UGGGGAAUUUUGGACAAUGGGCGCAAGCCUGAUCCAGCCAUGCCGCGUGCGGGAAGAAGGCCUUCGGGUUGUAAACCGCUUUUGUCAGGGAAGAAAUCUUCUGAGUUAAUACCUCGGGAGGAUGACGGUACCUGAAGAAUAAGCACCGGCUAACUACGUGCCAGCAGCCGCGGUAAUACGUAGGGUGCAAGCGUUAAUCGGAAUUACUGGGCGUAAAGCGUGCGCAGGCGGUUUUGUAAGACAGAGGUGAAAUCCCCGGGCUCAACCUGGGAACUGCCUUUGUGACUGCAAGGCUUGAGUGUGGCAGAGGGGGGAUGGAAUUCCGCGUGUAGCAGUGAAAUGCGUAGAUAUGCGGAGGAACACCGAUGGCGAAGGCAAUCCCCUGGGCCUGCACUAACGCUCAUGCACGAAAGCGUGGGGAGCAAAACAGGAUUAGAUACCCUGGUAGUCCACGCCCUAAAACGAUGUCAAACUGGUUGUUGGGAAGGUUCCUUCUCAGUAACGUAGCUAACGCGUGAAGUUGACCGCCUGGGGGAGUACGGCCGCAA
Molecule: ribosomal RNA, 548 nt
Filed under: uncultured bacterium
Lineage: Bacteria
Description: partial 16S ribosomal RNA
Rfam family: Bacterial small subunit ribosomal RNA
Source: RNAcentral